UUGUAAGUGUCUAAGGGCGCAUGGUGGAUGCCUUGGCAUCGAGAGCCGAUGAAGGACGUGGGAGGCUGCGAUAUGCCUCGGGGAGCUGUCAACCGAGCGUGGAUCCGAGGAUUUCCGAAUGGGGAAACCCAGCACGAGUGAUGUCGUGCUACCCGCAUCUGAAUAUAUAGGGUGCGGGAGGGAACGCGGGGAAGUGAAACAUCUCAGUACCCGUAGGAGGAGAAAACAAUUGUGAUUCCGCAAGUAGUGGCGAGCGAACGCGGAACAGGCUAAACCGCACGCAUGGGUAACCGGGUAGGGGUUGUGUGUGCGGGGUUGUGGGAGGAUAUGUCUCAGCGCUACCCGGCUGAGAGGCAGUCAGAAAGUGUCGUGGUUAGCGGAAGUGGCCUGGGAUGGUCUGCCGUAGACGGUGAGAGCCCGGUACGCGAAAACCCGGCACCUGCCUAGUAUCAAUUCCCGAGUAGCAGCGGGCCCGUGGAAUCCGCUGUGAAUCCGCCGGGACCACCCGGUAAGCCUAAAUACUCCUCGAUGACCGAUAGCGGAUUAGUACCGUGAGGGAAUGGUGAAAAGUACCCCGGGAGGGGAGUGAAAGAGUACCUGAAACCGUGUGCCUACAAUCCGUCAGAGCCUCCUUUUCCUCUCCGGAGGAGGGUGGUGAUGGCGUGCCUUUUGAAGAAUGAGCCUGCGAGUCAGGGACAUGUCGCAAGGUUAACCCGUGUGGGGUAGCCGCAGCGAAAGCGAGUCUGAAUAGGGCGACCCACACGCGCAUACGCGCGUGUGAAUAGUGGCGUGUUCUGGACCCGAAGCGGAGUGAUCUACCCAUGGCCAGGGUGAAGCGCGGGUAAGACCGCGUGGAGGCCCGAACCCACUUAGGUUGAAGACUGAGGGGAUGAGCUGUGGGUAGGGGUGAAAGGCCAAUCAAACUCCGUGAUAGCUGGUUCUCCCCGAAAUGCAUUUAGGUGCAGCGUUGCGUGGUUCACCGCGGAGGUAGAGCUACUGGAUGGCCGAUGGGCCCUACUAGGUUACUGACGUCAGCCAAACUCCGAAUGCCGUGGUGUAAAGCGUGGCAGUGAGACGGCGGGGGAUAAGCUCCGUACGUCGAAAGGGAAACAGCCCAGAUCGCCGGCUAAGGCCCCCAAGCGUGUGCUAAGUGGGAAAGGAUGUGCAGUCGCAAAGACAACCAGGAGGUUGGCUUAGAAGCAGCCACCCUUGAAAGAGUGCGUAAUAGCUCACUGGUCAAGUGAUUGUGCGCCGAUAAUGUAGCGGGGCUCAAGCACACCGCCGAAGCCGCGGCACAUCCACCUUGUGGUGGGUGUGGGUAGGGGAGCGUCCCUCAUUCAGCGAAGCCACCGGGUGACCGGUGGUGGAG
Molecule: ribosomal RNA, 1369 nt
Filed under: Mycobacterium tuberculosis
Lineage: Bacteria; Bacillati; Actinomycetota; Actinomycetes; Mycobacteriales; Mycobacteriaceae
Description: bacterial LSU rRNA
Rfam family: Bacterial large subunit ribosomal RNA
Source: RNAcentral